UCUCUUGCAAUGAUGCAGCAGAUAUAUCAUAUGUUAUAUAAAGUGAGGCUUUUACAAUGGGAGAGAAAAAUGACACUUAAUUUGCUGCAGGUUGUUAUAUACUGUGAUAAAUUAUUCCAAAGAGAAUGAGUUGGAGAUGCACUCUGCAGUUUUUUGCAGUGCCUCAACAACCUCAGACCAGAGAUGUCCUUAUAAGCUCAAAACCCUUGGGCUUAUGUAAGUCCCAAUGAACAUUGGACAGUCUAGCUAGCUCACACAGAAAUCCAUCACGACUCAGCAUAUGGAAAUCAAUUUUCCCAAUCGACGUAGAAGAUCAUGUGGCAAACUUGAGAUCAUGGUGCUAAUAACUUUUGAAUCAACAACUGCAGUUCCAGCAGCACGUUUUGAAGUCAGAACCGUCCCGUGGGAGUAUUGGAGCACUUUGUGACAAACCACUUUGCUAGGGCAACAAGGAGAUAACAGCUACUGAUGAUCCAGCGCACUUGGCUCAAUAUGGCAACAACGUUGGAGGUAGUGGUUAGCGUUUUGAUUAGGCUGAUAAAAUGGGCUACAUCCUCCAAGUAGAAGAGAAUAACCCCAACAACGCUGAUAUUUUGCUGUUUGAUAGAACCUACCCAAACGUUACCUCUAUCACUACCCGCUACUUAAACCACUGAGCUACUGGAAAUAAGGAGUACAAAAGCAAACAUCUCACGCACAAAAUAGAGGAAAGGCAAAAAAGGAGAAAGGGAAGUUUUCCAUAGAAGAUGUCCGGUUUUUUCACCAAAUUGAGACCCAUAUGGAAGCCGAUCAACGCCAAAUAUUUACACAACGUUUCUGCCAUCCCAUGCUAUACAUCGAAUGGUUAGAUUAUAGUUUUGUGCUCCGAAUGUUGGUAAUCUCUAUUUGUAUGGAAAAUGGUUUGUUCCAAACAUGUUUGAUGUUGUAAAGCCUCCAGCAUUGUUUGGAGAAGGACAACUUGUUGUAUCCCUUCAUUAUUAUUGAUUAGUGGAAGGGCUUAGUGCCGGCUUAUGGUACCCGUGGUUUUUUCU
Long non-coding RNA from Chenopodium quinoa (quinoa), 1031 nucleotides. RefSeq lists it as uncharacterized. NCBI's taxonomy places the organism in Eukaryota, Viridiplantae, Streptophyta, Magnoliopsida, Caryophyllales, Amaranthaceae. The record is from RefSeq and is a predicted model, not a curated record. The transcript has 3 exons.